Molecule: ribosomal RNA, 301 nt
Filed under: uncultured bacterium
Lineage: Bacteria
Description: partial 16S ribosomal RNA
Rfam family: Bacterial small subunit ribosomal RNA
Source: RNAcentral
CAGCCGCCGCGGUAAUACGUAGGUGGCAAGCGUUGUCCGGAUUUAUUGGGCGUAAAGCGAGCGCAGGCGGUCAAUUAAGUUCGAUGUGAAAGCCCCCGGCUCAACCGGGGAGGGUCAUUGGAAACUGGUUGACUUGAGUGCAGAAGAGGAGAGUGGAAUUCCAUGUGUAGCGGUGAAAUGCGUAGAUAUAUGGAGGAACACCAGUGGCGAAGGCGACUCUCUGGUCUGUAACUGACGCUGAGGCUCGAAAGCGUGGGUAGCAAACAGGAUUAGAUACCCGUGUAGUCCCUGUCUCUUAUAC